This is a long non-coding RNA of Strongylocentrotus purpuratus (purple sea urchin), 503 nucleotides long. RefSeq lists it as uncharacterized. The transcript has 4 exons. NCBI's taxonomy places the organism in Eukaryota, Metazoa, Echinodermata, Echinoidea, Camarodonta, Strongylocentrotidae. The record is from RefSeq and is a predicted model, not a curated record.
GGACCCGAUUGUGUGUCUGUAAAUGCGAACGGCAUAUGGACCAACGAAUGUUGUUACACCCGCCAUCCUGCUAUUUGUGAAACUGGGCCCAUCGGCGAUCCCGAGUGCGAUGAUGUUAGUGGGUACGUCUUCUUCCAAGAUCGUUGCCUGAGGUUUAUAACCAAUCCGGAUUCCUUUGAAGCCCAAUGCAAAGAAUGCAGAAGGCUCAAAGGUCGCCUAGCCCCAUCUCUGAACGAAGCACAAAAUAAAGCUCUGCUUGCAUUCUACAAAUCUGAAUCGCCAGCCAACGGCAAGCCAGCAUGGUUUAACCUACACAAUCUCAUCUCGAGUAGUAACUAUCAAACCACUGAACUUCUCACGUCGACUUUCUCUAAACUUCCUGCCAAAACUUCAGACAGUGAUCGAUGUGUGAACAUAGGGUCUGGCGGAUGGGGAAAAGAGUGUUGCCACGAUAAACUUCCUGCAAUAUGUGAACUGAAUCGUUAGCAAAUAAGCGAUUUUGA